UGUCCCUAAGGUGUCACCAGGUGUCCCCAAAUGUCCCCAAGCCACCUGACCCGUGUCACCAGGUGUCACCCAGGUGUCACCCAGGUGUCACCAGGUGUCCCCAAGCCACCUGACCCGUGUCACCAGGUGUCAACCAGGUGUCACCCAGGUGUCCCUAAGGUGUCACCAGGUGUCCCCACCCCUCCUGUCCCCCGUCCCCGCGGUGUCCCCGGCUCUCCCUCUGUGUCACCGAGGUGUCACCGGGGGGUCCCCA
Long non-coding RNA from Ficedula albicollis (Collared flycatcher), 253 nucleotides. RefSeq lists it as uncharacterized. Lineage: Eukaryota; Metazoa; Chordata; Aves; Passeriformes; Muscicapidae. The record is from RefSeq and is a predicted model, not a curated record. The transcript is spliced from 3 exons.